This 407-nucleotide ribosomal RNA is filed under the name Verrucomicrobiota bacterium. Its description in RNAcentral is "Verrucomicrobia bacterium partial 16S ribosomal RNA". It matches the Rfam family "Bacterial small subunit ribosomal RNA", at positions 355 to 776 of the family's 1533-position model. Lineage: Bacteria; Pseudomonadati; Verrucomicrobiota. The record is from RNAcentral.
UGGGGAAUAUUGGACAAUGGAGGCAACUCUGAUCCAGCAAUUCUGUGUGUGUGAAGAAGGUUUUAGGACUGUAAAACACUUUUAGUAGGGAAGAAAAAAAUGACGGUACCUACAGAAGAAGCGACGGCUAAAUACGUGCCAGCAGCCGCGGUAAUACGUAUGUCGCGAGCGUUAUCCGGAAUUAUUGGGCUUAAAGGGCAUCUAGGCGGUAAGACAAGUUGAAGGUGAAAACCUGUGGCUCAACCAUAGGCUUGCCUACAAAACUGUUGAACUAGAGUACUGGAAAGGUGGGUGGAACUACACGAGUAGAGGUGAAAUUCGUAGAUAUGUGUAGGAAUGCCGAUGAUGAAGAUAACUCACUGGACAGAAACUGACGCUGAAGUGCGAAAGAUAGGGGAGCAAACAGG